RNAcentral lists this unclassified non-coding RNA (321 nucleotides) under uncultured Cantharellales. Its description in RNAcentral is "sequence contains ITS2". Lineage: Eukaryota; Fungi; Basidiomycota; Agaricomycetes; Cantharellales. The record is from RNAcentral.
AACGCACCUUGCGCUCCUUGGUAUUCCUUGGAGCAUGCCUGUUUGAGUAUCAUGAAAUUCUCAAAGCAAGCCUUUUGUUAAUUCAAUUGGUCUUCUUGCUUUGGACUUGGAGGCUUGCAGAUUUCACAGUCUGCUCCUCUUAAAUUCAUUAGCUGGAUCUCAGUAUAUGCUCGGUUCCACUCGGCGUGAUAAGUAUCACUCGCUGAGGACACUGUAAAAGGUGGCCGGGAAAUGCAGACGAACCGCUUCUAAUAGUCUAUUAAAUUAGACAAUACUCUAAGAUCUGAUCUCAAAUCAGGUAGGACUACCCGCUGAACUUAA